GACGAACGCUGGCGGCGUGCCUAACACAUGCAAGUGGAGCGACGAACCAGGGCUUGCCCUGGAGCAAAGCCGCGAACGGGUGAGUAACACGUGGGUAACCUGCCCCGAUGAUUGGGACAACCCGAGGAAACUCGGGCUAAUACCGAAUGUCCCCUGCCGGCCCAAGCCGGCGUGGGGAAAGGAAGCUUCGGCCUCCGCAUCGGGAGGGGCCCGCGGCCCAUUAGCUAGUUGGUGAGGUAAAGGCUCACCAAGGCAACGAUGGGUAGCUGGUCUGAGAGGACGAUCAGCCAAGCUGGGACUGGGACACGGCCCAGACUCCGACGGGAGGCAGCAGUGGGGAAUCUUGCGCAAUGCGCGAAAGCGUGACGCAGCAACGCCGGGUGGGGGAAGAAGGCCUUCGGGUUGUAAACCCCUUUCAGGAGGGACGAAGGUGCGGCGGCGAAUAGCCGACCGCACUGACGGUACCUCCAGAAGAAGCCCCGGCUAACUACGUGCCAGCCGCCGCGGUAA
This 510-nucleotide ribosomal RNA is filed under the name uncultured bacterium. RNAcentral's name for it is "partial 16S ribosomal RNA". It matches the Rfam family "Bacterial small subunit ribosomal RNA", at positions 28 to 523 of the family's 1533-position model. The record is from RNAcentral.